This 73-nucleotide transfer RNA is filed under the name Apaloderma vittatum (bar-tailed trogon). It matches the Rfam family "tRNA". Rfam says of the family: Transfer RNA (tRNA) molecules are approximately 80 nucleotides in length. Their secondary structure includes four short double-helical elements and three loops (D, anti-codon, and T loops). The record is from Rfam by way of RNAcentral. Lineage: Eukaryota; Metazoa; Chordata; Aves; Trogoniformes; Trogonidae.
GGCCAGUUAGGUCAGUCGUUUGAGCGUGGUGCUGAUAACACCAAGGUCGCGGGUUCGAUCCCUGCUCGGUCCC